GAUGAAGAACGUAGCGAAAUGCGAUAAGUAAUGUGAAUUGCAGAAUUCAGUGAAUCAUCGAAUCUUUGAACGCACAUUGCGCCCGCUGGUAUUCCGGCGGGCAUGCCUGUUCGAGCGUCAUUUCAACCCUCAAGCUCUCCGGAGUUUGGUGUUGGGGCGCCUGGGGCUUUUCGACCUCAGGGCCCUCAAGUCCAUCGGCGGGACCGCCAGGACACUGAGCGCAGUAGUAUUAUUUCGCUCGGUAGGAUCUUCCACGGCGGGUCGAUCUGGCCGCUAAACCCCCCAAUUCUCACCAAAGGUUGACCUCGGAUCAGGUAGGAAUACCCGCUGAACUUAAGCAUAUCAAUAAGAGGA
This 354-nucleotide unclassified non-coding RNA is filed under the name soil metagenome. RNAcentral's name for it is "partial contains 5.8S ribosomal RNA, internal transcribed spacer 2, and large subunit ribosomal RNA". The stretch from base 1 to 120 matches the Rfam family "5.8S ribosomal RNA", at positions 35 to 154 of the family's 154-position model. The record is from RNAcentral.